UACAGAGGUCACAAGCGUUAUCCGGAUUUAUUGGGCGUAAAGCGUUUCGUAGGUGGGUUCGUAAGUUAUUUUUCAAAGACCAGGGCUCAACCUUGGGAAGGGAGAUAAUACUGCGCGCCUUGAAAUAUGAUGGGGCAUCUGGAACUGAUGGUGUAGUAGUGAAAUACGUUGAUAUCAUCAGGAACUCCAAGGGCGAAGGCAGGAUGCUAAUCAUUUUUUGACACUGAGGAACGACAGCUAGGGGAGCGAAAGGG
This 254-nucleotide ribosomal RNA is filed under the name uncultured bacterium. Its description in RNAcentral is "partial 16S ribosomal RNA". It matches the Rfam family "Bacterial small subunit ribosomal RNA", at positions 524 to 776 of the family's 1533-position model. The record is from RNAcentral.